RNAcentral lists this ribosomal RNA (433 nucleotides) under uncultured bacterium. RNAcentral describes it as "partial 16S ribosomal RNA". It matches the Rfam family "Bacterial small subunit ribosomal RNA", at positions 29 to 507 of the family's 1533-position model. The record is from RNAcentral.
AAUGAACGCUGGCGGCAUGCCUAACACAUGCAAGUCGAACGAGACCAGCGGGCCUAGUGGCGCAUGGGGGCGUAACGCGGGGGAACCUGCCCAGAGGUUUGGAAUAACUCUCCGAAAGGGGUGCUAAAACGGGAGAAUAUCUUCGGACCAAAGAUAUAUCGCGUUUGGAUGGGCCCGCGUUGGAUUAGCUAGUGGGUAGGGUAAAAGCCUACCAAGGCGACGAUCGGUAGCUGGUUUGAGAGGAUGGUCAGCCACACUGGGACUAGGACACGGCCCGGAAUCCUACGGGAUGGGGCAGUGGGUGAUAUAGGACCACGGGGGGAGGCAUGAUCGAGCUCUGCUGCGAGAGUGAUGAAGGCCUUAGGGUUGUAAAGCUCUUUUACCCGGGAUGGUAAUGACGGUACCGGGAGAAUAAGCUCCGGCUAACUCCGUG